UACAGAGGGGGCAAGCGUUGUUCGGAAUUACUGGGCGUAAAGGGCGCGUAGGCGGCCCGCUAAGUCGAACGUGAAAUCCCCGAGCUCAACUCGGGAACUGCGUCCGAUACUGGUGGGCUUGAAUCCGGAAGAGGCGAGUGGAAUUCCUGGUGUAGCGGUGGAAUGCGCAGAUAUCAGGAGGAACACCAAUAGCGAAGGCAGCUCGCUGGGACGGUAUUGACGCUAAGGCGCGAAAGCGUGGGGAGCAAACAGG
This 253-nucleotide ribosomal RNA is filed under the name uncultured bacterium. RNAcentral describes it as "partial 16S ribosomal RNA". It matches the Rfam family "Bacterial small subunit ribosomal RNA", at positions 524 to 776 of the family's 1533-position model. The record is from RNAcentral.